RNAcentral lists this ribosomal RNA (405 nucleotides) under uncultured crenarchaeote. Its description in RNAcentral is "bacterial SSU rRNA". It matches the Rfam family "Archaeal small subunit ribosomal RNA", at positions 450 to 855 of the family's 1478-position model. The record is from RNAcentral. Lineage: Archaea; Thermoproteati; Thermoproteota.
GUCUGGUGUCAGCCGCCGCGGUAAUACCAGCACCCCGAGUGGUCGGGACGAUUAUUGGGCCUAAAGCAUCCGUAGCCUGUUCUGCAAGUCCUCCGUUAAAUCCACCUGCUCAACAGAUGGGCUGCGGAGGAUACUACAGGGCUAGGAGGCGGGAGAGGCAAACGGUACUCAGUGGGUAGGGGUAAAAUCCUCUGAUCCACUGAAGACCACCAGUGGCGAAGGCGGCUUGCCAGAACGCGCUCGACGGUGAGGGAUGAAAGCUGGGGGAGCAAACCGGAUUAGAUACCCGGGUAGUCCCAGCUGUAAACGAUGCAGACUCGGUGAUGGGUUGGCUUCGAGCCAACCCAGUGCCGCAGGGAAGCCGUUAAGUCUGCCGCCUGGGGAGUACGGUCGCAAGACUGAAAC